AGAAGGGACAACUUCCAUCGGGAAGCAGA
RNAcentral lists this small RNA (29 nucleotides) under Bombyx mori (domestic silkworm). Its description in RNAcentral is "ovarian small RNA-11782". Lineage: Eukaryota; Metazoa; Arthropoda; Insecta; Lepidoptera; Bombycidae. The record is from RNAcentral.